Wallemia ichthyophaga EXF-994 is the source of this 91-nucleotide non-coding RNA. The record is from the annotation of a RefSeq genome assembly. Lineage: Eukaryota; Fungi; Basidiomycota; Wallemiomycetes; Wallemiales; Wallemiaceae.
GCAUUAAUGGGGUAGUGGUAACCUCGAUCGUUGCCAUCUAACAACGUUUGAUAAAUUCGAUCGGCCCCCGGUUCAAUUCCGGGUUAAUGCA